UCCGGCCUUUCCGAACCCCUCCCCGGCCUCGCCGUCAACCAACGCGGGCACUGACUUUAGCGUGGUGCCGUGGUCUCGAGCACGGGCCGUGUAGUGGGUUCCGUUUUGUUCUGAGGUCGUGGAUAGUUCUCAGGAUCGAAGUGGAUAGGUAGGGGAAUUUUGGGAAAAUCCUGACGGAAGAAGAGAGGAAGAUCGAUCAAAGAGAGAUAGCUGCGCUAGAGUUCUAGUUGCGGAAAUGUGAAGGCAAGUAAUUUAGGGUUUUUCUGUUUAUCCCUCUCAUAUCCAGCUCCGAGUAUAUAUACUACUCGUGCGGUGAAUCAAUAGUAGCUCACUUAGAGCUUAAACUGGAGUGUAAUUACUACAAAGCCGAGAUGAGACUGAACAGGAAAGGUAAUUUGUCGGAAUUGUUCUCUGCUGUUGCAUUUGAGGGAUCUGAACCGUCCGAGGAACAUAAUGUUUGCCCGUUCCUUUGUUACUCUUCUGGAGAAUAGACUGACUGUUGAAAAGUUCAGACUAGGAUAUUUGGGUCCUGACACUGCACCUCCUGAGAUUAGAUUUCAAGGCUAAAAUGCAGGAAAUACCUUUUGAAUGAAUGCGCAUCCUCCCAGGUAUGCACAAGCCAUUGCACCAUUGCAGCAUUUUUGUGAAGGAUAGCCGGAAGAGCUAAUCAUAUGCUGUUGAGGGUUUGGGAGAGCAUUGGGGCCCAAGUGCUACUUGAGAUGACUGACAUGAAACAGUUGGUGGAUUUGAGCGCUCUCCAGAUGUUGCAAUUUAUAAGACAUCUCACCCACUUUCUGAAGGAUGUGAAAGGGGCCGUAGUAUUUGGACUGCACCGUCAAGGUGGAACGGAGACCAAAUGCAGUAAUUCUGUAUGCUUGAAGUUUAAGGUAUACUAUCUCUCCCACGUUGAAGUGCGUUCUGUCUGCUUCAGGUCUGCGAAUUUGUUGAUUCUGGCCUAAGCAUGAUCCCGAUUUUCCUGCAGUUUUGCCAUUGUAGCUCCUGUGUCAAUUAGUGCAGCUCUGGCUUUUUCACUGACAGUGCAAGGAAUUGCCAUUUCAGCAAUCUGAGGUGGCUGAUACCCAUACAGAGCCUUCAAUGGAGAAGUUUUCAAAGAUAUGUGGUAUGAUGUGUUGUGCCACCAUUCUGCUGCUGGCAGCAGAUUACACCAACGCUUGGGUUCCUGAAAUGCCAUGCUACCGAGGUAGCUUUCGAGACAUUGAUUUACACGUUCAGGUUCAGGCUGUCCGUCAGUUUCUAGGUGAUGAGUGGUGGUCAAUUUCAGUUCUUCAUUUAGAGAUGUGAAGAAAUCCAUCCUAUCUUGAUCAGAUACAAUCACCUGAGGCAGACCAUGUAGCUUAUGGAUAUUAUCCAUUAAGAGUUUUUGCCACAGUUUGCACAGUGAAUGGGUGAACCAAAGGCAGGAAGUGUGCAUACAUUGUCAGUUGACCAACCACCACUAGAAUAAAAUCUUUGCCCUUGGAUUAGGCAAUCCCUCUAUAAAAUCCAUGGAUAUUUGGGAUCAUGCCUCUAGGAAUUCUGAGUGGGUUGAGCGAACCAGGGUAAUUAAUUGUUUCUCCUCUAGUAACCUGACAAUUUGGACACUAAGCAAGGAACUGCUCAAUUUCUCCUUCUAACCCAUGCCAAUACAAGAGCUUCUUAAUUCUGUGACAUGUCACUCUUCUGCAAGAAUAUAAUACCCUCCAAUGAUGGAAGAAUGGGAAGAAGUGAGGAUUUGUUUCCCGAGGUUGUUGGAGUUGCCCACAUAAAUUAUUCUUUUGUAUCUGAGGAUACCAACUUCAGAUGAAUAUUUUGGUUUGCUUGAGGGAGCUACAACCAGUUCCUGUAGUAAUUUCAAGCACUUGUCGUCAGUUUUGUAUGAUUCUUCCACUUCUUUCACUCAAGCCGAGAUUACCAUUGAGAUUGCAUUACAACAAUCACUUCAUUUUCUUGGUCUUUCUUGGAUACUACCUUGUUUUCUACUUGUUUUUUGUACGUAAUAGCAUAAUCAUACCCUAAGAGCUUGAGCAUGAGUUUGUGUUGUAUCCCCUUUAGUUAUCUCUGACUGAACAUGAACUUGAGACUUCUAUGGUCUGAUUUGAUGAUCAGUUUGUUGCCAGUGAAGUAAUGUCUCCACUUUUUCAAGCCUUCCAAAAUUGCAAUGGCCUAUUUUCAUAUGUUGACUGUGCAGUUGCAUUUAGACCUAAACUCUUACCGACAUAGGCAGGAUGUCCCUUUUGCAUGAGAACAACUCCUAUAGAAGUACCACUUGCAUCAACUUGUAGUGUGAAAGGCAGAGAAAAAUCAGUAGCUAGUCAUCCCCAAGAAACUUCUGAGUUUACUGAGGGUUGUUGGUUGUUUCCAAGCAAUGAUUGCAGCUAUCUUUGAAGGAUCAAUAGCUACCCCCUUAGAGGAAAUGAUGUGUCCCAAAUAUUCAACAACAGGUUGUGCAAAAACACGCUUAAUUUCUUCACAACCAGUUCGUUCUUUCUCAAAAUAUUUCCAAAACUUAGUGUGGAUGAGUUGCACGCUGUUUUAUGCUUUUGCUAUAGACCCGUAUGUCAUCAAAGAACACCAGUACAUGUUCCUUGAGUAUCUUUGAGAAAAUGUUGUUCAUAAUGGCUUGGAAUGUUGCUGGUGCAUUUGUAAGCCCAAAAGGCAUUACAAGAUACUCAUAAUGCCCUAGAUGUGUUCUGAAUGCAGUUUUGUGGACAUUAUCUGGAUGCAUUCUUAUUGGAUGGUACCAUGAUCUGAGGUCCAAUUUGGUUAAUAUAAUGGCCUGCCCCUUGUAGUUCAUCUAAUAACUCUUCUAUCACUGGGACAGGAUAUUUGUUGUUGCUCUUGCUCUUGUGCUGGAAGUUGUUCUUGUUCCAGUUCCUCUUGCUCAUCAUCAGAAGGACCUUGCAUUUUGAGUGCAUUCAUGCUCUUUGCAGCCCCUUGCAUUUGUGCUCAUAGAACCAGUUCUUAGGACAACACGAACACUUCUUUGGUUCUCUACCUUUGUCAUUUGGAGCCCUGGGUCAGUUAUCUCUUGCAGGUGCUUGCCUUGAUCCCUGCUGAAAUUGAUUGGGUCUGGCCCCCUUUUGAGUGGCAGCAAGAACAUGUCUUUUUGCUGCUGCCAAAUGAGUUUGUUCUAGCUGCCUGGAGGACUCGUAUGCACCGAGCAGUGUUAGGUUUAUCACAUUUGACCAUACGUUUCACAUUAUCCUUGUGGCCACUGAUAAAUCUCAGCACAAAGAAAUAUUCAGGUAAAUAGGGAUUGUCCCUCGUCAUUAGUUGCAUCCAAGUCUCAAACUGAUCAAUGUUAUUAUCCGUACUGUUGAUUUGCUUUAGAUGUUGGAAGUGGUCCAUUGCAUCAUACCAGUCUGCUUCAGGAAAUCUGUCACAUAGCAAGCUGCAGAAUUGAUGCCAGCUGAAGUAGUGCAGCUGUAUAUGUCCUCUGCCGACCAUAUUUGAGCUUUUUCUCUAAUGUGUGCACUGACACUUUUACUCACUGAUCUUGUUGGAUGCCUGAUAGCCCAAAUAUUUUUUCACAUUGCUGGAUCCAAGUGAUUAUGUCAUCUCCAUUGUAAAUGGGAAUUUCUAGAGGGUGAUCAAAUAAGGGGCUCAAUUGGAGGUUAUGGUGUUGAGGGGGUGGGGGUGGAGGAUUGGCUGGUGGUAUGCUGCUAUUGAUGUUGUAGCUGAGGAAUUUGUGGAUAGUAACAAUAGAGGUGGGGUGGAUCUUGUGGGUGAUAUACUGGUGUGUUUCGAGGAAUAUGUGCUACUGGAUAGUAGUUUUGAGGUAGGUAAGGUUGCUGGUAAUUGAGAUUGCUGUUGUUUGGCUGUAGAUGUGGUGGUAGGCAUGCGAUGGGAGUGUUGGUUCUGUUGUGGAGUAGUCUGAAAUUGUGGGUUUUGAGUUGGAGAAUGGACAAAGAAGUUCUGCUGUUGUUUAGGUAGGAGUGAAGUAAAGAAAAUUGUGGUUGUGGCAUUUAGUGGCAUUUAGGCUAUUCUGUGGGGUGCGUGGAAGCUUGCUAUCCAUGUGCCAGAGCCAUGAGUUGGUCGCGAGAUCUUAUGGGUUUCACCUCUAGCCUACCCCAACUUGUUUGGGACUAAAGGUGUUGUUGUUUGUUGUUGUUAGGCUAUUCUUCUGUGGGGUUUGGUUUAGGUUUUGCAGUGGUGGUAUAGGAGUGUGAACAUUGGGUGUAGGUUGGCGAGACAUGUGGCUCGGUCUUAGGCUGCCAAACUGUAUCCUUCAUGACAACCUGGAAGGGGUGAGUGGCAUAUUGUGGGUUUCAGUAGUAGAGCUGUAAUUGGUUUCAUGAAUGGCCAUCAGAUACUCGCUGGGCCCUUAAGACAUGUGAUGACCGAACCGAUCGUGAACCUCAGAAGUUCAUGCAGUGAACUCAACUCACGAGUGGAUUGCAGUCAGUCGAUGGCUACUUGCUAAAAUUAACGCUCAUCACCACCUCUAUUAGCUUAGAGAUCUCACCGUGCAAAGAGAGCAACGAGUCUUGUUGAUCCUUUUGCCCAUGGAGGCGCACCAUCUCUUGGGGCCAAUGAUCACGCACUGCUUCCUCGACGCGUGCGGCUUUCUUUCCUGCUUCUAGCCACCGCCAGAGUAGUCACUUCCUCUUCCAUCGCCUCGAAGAGCUCCUUUCGUCACCGUCGUCGUAACUCACUUUGAAUCGUGGGAUUUUGCAUUGUUCCACCAACCCUUCUUCGUUGCUUUGCUGAAUCGUCCUCGGUCUGUCAAAUCCGCGGCGGUAGGGUUUUAGCAGGUUAUUGUGAGCGGUCUUCAUACCUUGCUCGCUAAUUUGAGCCAAUAAUGGGUGAGAGGCUCUGAUACCCUUGUCAAGAUCGACAGAAGAGAUGGAAAUCGACCGGGAUAGAUAGCUAUGCUAGGGUUCUAGUUGCGAAAAUGUAAAGGCAAGUAAUUUAGUUUUUUUUUUGCAUAUCCCUCUCAUAGCCAUUAUAUACUACUUGCGUGGUGAAUCACUGGUAGCCGUGUAGGAACAAGGUUCGUUUGUUAGGAUGCCUCAGCUACAUGCAUCACUACACUUCCACUUGACACCUAUUUAAACGGCUCGUCUCGCCGCUACCUUAUCCUAUUUCCAUACUGCUGUCGCUCCAUCCCGUAUGGGUAGAGAACCCGUCGCCGUCUCGGCUGUGAUACCGGAGGCUCUAGGGAAGUCAGAGGAGAGAGCACUCAUUUUUGGGUGGGCUUACUACUUAUAUGCUUUUAGCAGUUAUCCUCACCGCACUCGGCUACGCGGCUUAACUGGAGCGUAAUUCUUACAAAAUGUGAGAUUAGUUAAGAGUUAUAUUGUGUUGCAUGUAUAGCCUGUGUAUUUUCCCCGUUGUAUGAGGGGUUUCCUGCAUAUUUACCACAUGUAUAUAUAUAUACCGGCUUGCCCUCCCAAGGAAAUACAAGUUGCAUAUUUCCUGACAUGGUAUUAAAGGCCUAGGUUAUUUUUUCUUCCACGCGCAGCUCGUG
This is a non-coding RNA of Aegilops tauschii subsp. strangulata, 5470 nucleotides long. NCBI's taxonomy places the organism in Eukaryota, Viridiplantae, Streptophyta, Magnoliopsida, Poales, Poaceae. The record is from RefSeq and is a predicted model, not a curated record.